Mus musculus (house mouse) is the source of this 732-nucleotide long non-coding RNA. RefSeq annotates it as predicted gene, 34844. Lineage: Eukaryota; Metazoa; Chordata; Mammalia; Rodentia; Muridae. The record is from RefSeq and is a predicted model, not a curated record. The transcript is spliced from 2 exons.
GUGAGCAGGCUUUGACAGACAGACAUUAACCGUUGCCUGGCACAGGGAAAGCUGCAGACCAGAAGAUGCCACCUGCAGGUGCUGCGGCUUUGCAGAUCGGAUACAAAGUCAACUGGGGGAGGAGAGAGUAAUGGCAGAACACACUGAUUGCAACAGUUUCUUCAGGGAAAACUGACACAGAGUUACAAACAGAACCGGAGGGAGGGAAUGACUCCACCUUUAAAGGGCCUGCCAAGAAAACAGGAGGGCUUGAGCACCGGGCAAGCUGCAGACAGCAGCGGACCAGCGGAGGAUGCUAAAGUUAAGCCUGCCUCCUACUUGCCUGGCCCCACCCCAUCUGCAGAUGGCAGGUCCCUCAACCCCCCAGCACGGAAUCAUCACAGACCGGCCGGGGACCAUCUGGAGAGCUGCACUGUCUGCAAAUCGGACUGUUUAUAAGCUCAAGGCCUUUUGUGACUUUAAUAAUAAAGGGGGGGAGGGACAAUGUCGCAAGCCUCAAUGAUUACGGUGCCCGGGCACCGUCCCUGACGAGGGAUUAGAUAAGACGUCUUAUCUGGGAGACACCCAAGGAAAAGGUCCCUCCACCAGAUAACACCCCGGCUGUCGAAAUGCCCUUUCAAAGCUGGACUGCAGAUAAGGAGCCGUGACAGCGGAUGGAGGAGGAGAGAAACUUCCUGCGCUGAGGAGCAUUGAGUCUGCUGCCCAAGACCAAACAAUAAGCAGAGCAGACGC